UGCGUAGGCGGAAAAUUAAGUCAGUGGUGAAAUCCCAGAGCUCAACUCUGGAACUGCCAUUGAUACUGAUAUUCUUGAAUGUAGUUGAGGUAGGCGGAAUGUGUAAUGUAGCGGUGAAAUGCUUAGAUAUUACACAGAACACCGAUUGCGAAGGCAGCUUACUAAACUAUGAUUGACGCUGAGGCACGAAAGCGUGGGGAGCGAACAGGAUUAGAUACCCUGGUAGUCCU
Molecule: ribosomal RNA, 230 nt
Filed under: uncultured bacterium
Lineage: Bacteria
Description: partial 16S ribosomal RNA
Rfam family: Bacterial small subunit ribosomal RNA
Source: RNAcentral